AUUGAACGCUGGCGGCAGGCCUAACACAUGCAAGUCGAACGGAGCGGCGGACGGGUGAGUAAUGCCUAGGAAUCUGCCUGGUAGUGGGGGAUACCGUCCUGCAACGGGCGCUAAUACCUCCUACUAUCAGACGAGCCUAGCUGGGAUUAGCUAGUUGGUGGGGUAAUGGCCUACCAAGGCGACGAUCCGUAGCUGGUCUGAGAGGAUGAUCAGUCACACUGGAACUGAGACACGGUCCAGACUCCUACGGGAGGCAGCAGUGGGGAAUAUUGGACAAUGGGCGAAAGCCUGAUUCAGCCAUGCCGCGUGUGUGAAGAAGGCCUUCGGAUUGUAAAGCACUUUAAGUUGGGAGGCGUUACCAACAGAAUAAGCACCGGCUAACUCCGUGCCAGCAGCCGCGGUAAUUC
Molecule: ribosomal RNA, 407 nt
Filed under: uncultured bacterium
Lineage: Bacteria
Description: partial 16S ribosomal RNA
Rfam family: Bacterial small subunit ribosomal RNA
Source: RNAcentral